AUACUCUGGUUUCUCUUCAGAUCGUGUAAAUAUUUUGCCUUUUACUAAAGAUUCCCGUGGAGAAAAACAGUUCUCAAUGACCAUCAAUUUUUUGAGGCCUUGCUUUUUGCUCU
This is a small nuclear RNA of Mastomys coucha (southern multimammate mouse), 113 nucleotides long. RefSeq annotates it as U5 spliceosomal RNA. NCBI's taxonomy places the organism in Eukaryota, Metazoa, Chordata, Mammalia, Rodentia, Muridae. The record is from RefSeq and is a predicted model, not a curated record. The transcript has a single exon.